Molecule: ribosomal RNA, 253 nt
Filed under: uncultured bacterium
Lineage: Bacteria
Description: partial 16S ribosomal RNA
Rfam family: Bacterial small subunit ribosomal RNA
Source: RNAcentral
UACGAAGGGGGCUAGCGUUGUUCGGAAUCACUGGGCGUAAAGGGCGCGUAGGCGGCCGAUCAAGUCGGGGGUGAAAGCCUGUGGCUCAACCACAGAAUUGCCUUCGAUACUGUUUGGCUUGAGACCGGAAGGGGUAAGUGGAACUGCGAGUGUAGAGGUGAAAUUCGUAGAUAUUCGCAAGAACACCAGUGGCGAAGGCGGCUUACUGGUCCGGUUCUGACGCUGAGGCGCGAAAGCGUGGGGAGCAAACAGG